Cavia porcellus (domestic guinea pig) is the source of this 4778-nucleotide long non-coding RNA. RefSeq lists it as uncharacterized. The record is from RefSeq and is a predicted model, not a curated record. NCBI's taxonomy places the organism in Eukaryota, Metazoa, Chordata, Mammalia, Rodentia, Caviidae. The transcript has 3 exons.
CCAGCCGGGCGCUCCUCCCAAGACAAGUUCCUCUGGCCCCUGACCAGUGCCAGACAAGUCAGUGCACACAGCGCCUGGCUUCAGUGACGCCUACCUCUCUGCAGUGGCCUCUCCGGGCUCCCAUGGCCCCCGCAUCCACUGUGAACCCUCCAAUGACAGGGCAGUAACAGCCAAGAAGGUGGAGAUUCUAGAGGACCGAGUCAGCAGGAGGUGGAGGGGAAGAAAAAGGGGAGGGGAGUGGGCAGUCUCCAGCAAGGGGACCCGCCCCAACGAGUGUGGCACUGGUGUGGGGAGGAAAACCCUGAGUUCGCCUGGGGUGCACUGAGCCACAAGUGCCCACGUCACCCCCACAGCCGCUCCUUCUCCUAAAAGUAGAUCCAGCUGAGGCCCGCAGGCACCGGCCCUGGGCCCUCCCCCUUCUUUCUUCUGUGCUUCCGUGAAUCCCAAGAUUGCAUGAGCCCCGGAGGCACGAGCCCUGUAGAAUGAACCUUCAUCCAAGGCCAGCCUCCAGCUGCUGUCUUGUCUUCCAUGGUGCCCAGGAGCUGCACAGACUUGGGGUUUAUGAGCCGUAUCACUCAGCUGACCUGCACGCUUCUCGCUCCAGUGCUCUGGGUCAAGGUGAUUCUCCAACAAACACACGAGCUUCCAAGCACCCGCAGUGGAUCGCUUACCUUGUGACACACCCCACUGUGGCAUCUGGAGCAGGAGAGUGAGAUCUUAGUGCUACUGCGUCCCCCGGAUCCUCGGGGGCUCCACAUACAAGCUCGGCAAUGCAGGAUGACGAUGGGGUUAAGAGGGAUCUGAUGGGUUCCUUCAGGGCCUGAUAACAGGUGCCCAACUGCAGCAAAGCCACCGUGACGACACUCAAGUGACUCCUGAAGACCGUUCUCCUCUCAUGCCAACCCUCUGAUCGACGCAUCCUCUUGCCCUGGGCUUUAGGGUUAAAAUCCUCAGAUCUUUCUUGGUCUGCAGCCUGCCUCUCAAAUGUGACCUGUCCCGAUGUCCCUUGAGAAACGUGAGACCGCAUGGACAUGUCACAAAGUCUUGUCUCUCCAGUGUGUGGCCACGUCACCUCCGCGGUCUCUGCCUCUGUGCACUGUCCCUGGGCCACACUGCAGUCCCACCAGCCGACUCACGUGGCUUCCCCUGCCCUUCCUCACUGUGUGGUGAUACCACUGUCCACACGCCUCACCUGCCCUUCUCAUGAGCUCAUCCCUGCCUGUUCCAGGGGAACUCUUCGACCAAACCUUAUUCAGUCGCCCCACAUCUAUUUGCUGAGUAUGUGUGGGUGCCAGGAACUGGUCAAAGCCCUGAAGUUCCAGGGGUAAGCGAGACAGACAGAAGGUGCCCGCUUCCCAUGAAAUAUGCACUCUAUCCGUGAACAAGCAAACAAGGAAGCCCCCCGAGGGUCCUGGAAAACAGACACUGCAGACGGAGCAGUCAGACUGCACCUCUCUGACGGCUCAGACAGAGCCCGUGGACCUCAGGGUGCAGCCGCACACCCUGGGGCUCCUCCUGCAGGGGUGUGGACAGCUCUGCCUCCUGUGGAAGAGAGGGUGCAGGGUGCCAGGGGACAGAAAAACCUGACAGCAUGUUGCUGACAAGGCACAGACUGGAAAUGCUGACCACGCAGGCCGUUAAGUCGGCCAAGGGGCAGAGAGAAGUGGCUGGGUCAGGUCCUGCCGGGAAUACCGUAGAGGAAGCUGUGGAUGGACACAGCACUGGCUGUGGGAGAGGAACUGGACCUCAGCUGCUGCCUGAAAAAAUUGUAAGGGAAGAAAACAGGAGGAGGAAGGCUCCUUGGAGCGGGCCAGCAGGCCAACCGGAAGUCGUGCUCUGUCCAUGGACAGUACUGCAGGGGACCCCGGAAGGAGCCAUCAGUGUGGGCACCACAGAGCCUCUCAUCCGUCUCCUUUGCAGCCUUAACCCACGCACCACCCUUUGGCUUUCCUCUCAAAGCACACGGCUCCUCCUCUUUGAGCAACUUCUCCUCCUUCCCACUCAGAUCACAGCCACCUAGGGAACCCUGAGGUUCCACCGCGCAGUGUCACGGGCCAGCCUGGUCCCAGGGACAGCGAGGGCCAGGGCUCGGGCUGCCAUCCAGGGAGCUCCAGGCAGCUUCCAGACACCGCUGCAGCUUGGUGACCAAGUGCCAUGGAAAUGCUGUGGGGUGACAGAGCUCUCCAGGACACACAGCAGCAGUGUGCAGCUGAGCACUUGGCACAUCCAGUGUCAGCAGGCAGGAAGCAGGGAGCCAGCGCUGGAGGAGCAAAGAGGCGCCCUGCUGAGUUCAGACGCCAGGGGAAGAGGCCGCCUCGGUGCGCUCUCUGCCACAUGAGGAUCUGGACUCCAAACUAACGGCAGAAGGAGCUGCACAUCAUCAGAGCAGGAAUUAACCUGCAUGUCACCUAGGAGACUCCAAGGCUCAGAGGGCUGAAGGGUCUUCCUUAAAGACAGGACUGGUCAGCAGUCCAAUCUUACGAUGUGAUGUGAGCUAGCAGUGGCCAUGCCUCCCAGGAAGAGAAGAGAAAAGACGCUAACGCCUUCCUGUGAGCCAGUGCUGGUUGUGGGCCAAGGCAGCACAAGGGAGCCAGCAGCAGCCAUGUAUCCCAGGAAGAGAACCAAGAAAAAGCCAACCCCUUCCUGUGAGUCAGCCAGCAUGCGGGCUGGGAGACAAGAGGUGCUGAGACCAGCCCCAGCCUGCACCAGGCAAUUGGCCGAUUUGGAGAAGCACAGACUAAGAAGAUAGUUACUGAAGUAAAAAAACAAAACGAAACUUAAUGUCUGCAUUGUUUGACUGACUUCAUAGGUUAAAGGCCAGCAGUCUGAGCAUCUAUUUAGAGGACAACAAUAUGCAGUGUAGCAUCUAUCAGGGAUCUUCUUCUGAGGGUGGUGGCCAUUGUUAAUUCCCUAUUUGAAGUCCUGUAUCAUUAUCAUUGUUUUGUUUUGAUUGCUUUUAUUCUGUUCUGUGUUGCUUUAUUAUGUCUGAUGGUAUGGGCAGCUAUUUUGAAGACAACAAGAAGCAUUAUGGUACCCGUUGUUGACUUCCUGUUACCUUAUUUUGAAGUCCUGUAUCAUUUUCACUGUUUGUUUGUGGUACUUUUCAGGGGAGCCCUGGUCCUUACUUUACCCUUUCCUGGGCUCCGGAGGGGAAGAUGUGUGCUGUUUAACCUCCAGGAGAAGCUUGUCACCCGGGCUUCCUGGUGGGGACUCAGCCGUUAUCAUCGAGGAGCUCAGAACCUCCCUGUCACUGAGCACUGCUGUGGUACUUUUCAGGGGAGCCCUGGUCCUCACUUUGAGCGCUGCUUCUUGGCUCCAGUGAGGAACCCUCAACCCACUGGCACAGACUUUCUAGCUGCCACUGCUGACCGCUGGGCCUUCCCAGCGCAGAUCCAUAAAACAGACUGGCGUGAGUCACUGUUGUGGGCUCUAGGCCUCCCGGGGACCCCUGGGAGCACUGUCAUGGGCUCUAGGUCUUCAGCUGGACUCAUGCAGGACACUGCUGUGGGAUCCAGGCCCUCAGCGGGAUUUUCUAGGUUUUUAGUGUUGAGGACAGACUUCCUGCACUUUCCUGUGUUUGACUCUGGGCGACCACCCUAAAAUAGUAUUAUAAAUUCCGUGUCCUGUGCGGUCUUGUUCUCCUUCCAAGCCCUGAUGACAACGACCUGAUGUGCAGAGGGGAUUUUCCUCAGCACGUGGCUGAAAAUAUCCCACGUGUCCAUCAGAGUCGACACUCACAGGCUCAGUGUGCCCCUUCCGGCAGAACAGUUCUGGGGUGCUCCCGAAAGACGGCUGCUGCUCCUGUUAAUGCAGAGCCGAGGCGCUCGCGCUGCGCACAGCCGUGGGUCCGGCUUCUGCCCUUCCCAGCUCCUGCAGUCACAGGCAAGAAGCCUCCUCAUCACUCAGAUCCAAACACCUCGGAAGCAAAUCAACCUUUUCAGUCCUCACGCUGCCUCGUGGUUGGCCCCGCCCGGCAUAUCCAGGAGCCUCUCCGAGCAGCCCUGGGCUCAGGCAGUGUAGAACCAUGAUCCACCAGGCAUAUUUCUGGGAGGGCGGGCUAGAGCCAGACUGCUGAAUGCUACCGCCAUGAAUACAAGAUAUUCCCUCAGCCUUCCCCUGUGUGACAGUGCAGCUAAGAAGGCUGUCACCGGCACUGGUGCCUUGGUGUGGGACUCUCCAGCCUGCAGAAACGUGAAGCAUAAGUCUUUGUUCUUGAGAAUCACCCAGGCUUACCGUUCUGGUACAGCAGCACAGACAAAGAAGGAAACCUGGGCAGAAGGUCCCAAGGCAGAAGUUCCUCUCGGGCCUCUCACUGCUGGCUCUGUAUUUAUAUCUGUCUUCCUGUGCUGCGUUCUGGAUAAUCUCUUCAGGUCUAUCUUCCACUCCAUGAAUCCUCUUUUCAACCACGUUUACCAUUAUGUUCGGCUGUCCGCUGAGUUUUAUAUCUACAGUUACUGUAUUUUUCAGUACCAGAAGUUCCAUUUUAAUUUUCCUCAGCAUAAUUAUAUUUAUUCUCCAAAAGUCUUACAGUCUGUCCGUAAGUUUGUUUUCCCAGCUAGAUAUUACCAAGAACACCACCCUUGUCUCCUGGUAUCACCGGACAGUGAUGUAAAACCACUGCCGAACCCUUUCCGCCGGCUGGGCUGCCCUCUGGCUGACUCUGUAAGGUAGGCAGGCAACAGGUCGGUGCCGUAGUUUACAAAACACUCCUGUAGAAAAAAGUGUAAACAUAACCCACUCUGCCAAAGGAUUCCUGAAUACACACACACAAGCAAAAA